Molecule: ribosomal RNA, 407 nt
Filed under: uncultured bacterium
Lineage: Bacteria
Description: partial 16S ribosomal RNA
Rfam family: Bacterial small subunit ribosomal RNA
Source: RNAcentral
AUUGAACGCUGGCGGCAGGCCUAACACAUGCAAGUCGAGCGGAGCGGUGGACGGGUGAGUAAUGCCUAGGAAUCUGCCUGGUAGUGGGGGCUCACGUCCGGAAACGGGCGCUAAUCCCGCAUACUAUCAGAUGAGCCUAGGUCGGAUUAGCUAGUUGGUGGGGUAAAGGCCUACCCAGGCGACGAUCCGUAACUGGUCUGAGAGGAUGAUCAGUCACACUGGAACUGAGAGACGGUCCAGACUCCUACGGGAGGCAGCAGUGGGGAAUAUUGGAGAAGGGGCGAAAUGCUGAUCCAGCCAUGCCGCGUGUGUGAAGAAGGGCUUCGGAUGGUAAAGCACUUUUAGUUGGGAGGCGUGACCAACAGAAUAAGCGCCGGCUAACUUCGUGCCAGCAGCCGCGGUAAUUC